This 253-nucleotide ribosomal RNA is filed under the name uncultured bacterium. RNAcentral describes it as "partial 16S ribosomal RNA". It matches the Rfam family "Bacterial small subunit ribosomal RNA", at positions 524 to 776 of the family's 1533-position model. The record is from RNAcentral.
UACGUAGGGGGCAAGCGUUGUCCGGAAUCAUUGGGCGUAAAGCGCGUGUAGGCGGCCAGGUAAGUCCGUUCUGAAAGCCCGGGGCUCAACCCCGGGAGGCGGAUGGAUACUGCUUGGCUCGAGUCCGGAAGAGGCGAGUGGAAUUCCCGGUGUAGCGGUGAAAUGCGCAGAUAUCGGGAGGAACACCAGUGGCGAAGGCGACUACCUGGCCUGUUCUUGACGCUGAGGCGCGAAAGCUAGGGGAGCAAACGGG